This is a long non-coding RNA of Brassica oleracea var. oleracea, 1131 nucleotides long. RefSeq lists it as uncharacterized. The transcript has 6 exons. Lineage: Eukaryota; Viridiplantae; Streptophyta; Magnoliopsida; Brassicales; Brassicaceae. The record is from RefSeq and is a predicted model, not a curated record.
GGACAGACCGGUCCGCCUCAAACCCUAAUACGGAAGAAUCAACAAAAUGGAGUUCGUCUUUCCUCUGCGUACGGCGACUUCGUGACUUCGUGACGUUUGCGCUUCUUCAAUGUGUCGUUUAGAUCUGCAAGACGGUGUGUUUUCGGUAUAAAUAUGUGUGUUUCUCUUCUUGAACUCAUCCUUUCUUCUCCGAUUUGAAGUCUGACAAGAAAUUUUUUCUCCGAUUUGAAGACAGGCUAAACUUGCUCUAGAGGCUCUUGAAGUUCCUGUGGGGAUGUGUCAUUCUUGAGGAGGGUAACAUCGUUGCUUCAGGGCGUAACCGAAAUAAUGAGACAUGCAAUAGAGGCCACAAGACAUGUAGAGAUGGAAGCAAUCGAUGAACUUAUUGGACAAUGGCAAAAAGAUAGACUUUCACCUUCACAAGUCGCUGAGAAAUUCUCGAAAUGCGUUCUUUACGUAACAUGUGAACCUUGCAUAAUGUGUGCAUCGACCUUAUCCUUCCUCGGUAUAAAGGUAGUAUAUUAUGCAUGCGGAAAUGAUAAAUUUGGGGGUUGUGGUUCCGUAUUGUUGCUUCACUUAGAGAGUUCUCAGACAUAAGAUAUCCUUUGUAGACCCUAAAGAUCACACUACAAACUUAUUAGAAAAAAUCAGCCUUAUUAAUUGAAGUCUGUGAUCUCUGUUUUUUUUUAUAGUGAAGAAGCUCAAAGAGGAAAAGGGUACAAGUGCAGAGGAAUAAUGGCAGACGAAGCUGUAUCUCUUUUCAAAUGUUUCUAUGAGAGGAAUCCAUACAUUUUAGCCCCAAAGCCACACCGCCCUGUAGUUCAAAGAGAGAGGACUUAGCAUCUUAGAGGCGAACUUGGUUUGAAAAUUGGAGUUUCUGAUUAAAAUAUGAAGAAGUUGAGGUGGAGGUUGUCAAAUGAUGAUUCUAUGUUUUUUUGCUACAUUUGGCACAUGAAACGUUAUCAGUUACAUCCAAAACAUUUGUAUAUCCGCCUAAGUUGGAGAUCUCAAUCUCAAGCUACUAAGUUGGUUUUAUUAGUUGUCUGUGACUGUAACGUUUUCUUCUUGUACGGGUAGAUGAUAGACAUGACCAUCAUUAGAAGAAUAAAAGAUUAACUAUGUUUUUAUCUU